UUGCACAGUCAGUCACAGACAGAGACAGACAUGACAUUACACGUCGUAACUUUCGUAUUAAGUUACUUAAAAAGUUUAACAACGGAGAUCGGAUAACAAGUUAACUGCUUUAAAAUAAUUUCAGCUGUACCAGAAGUUUUCAUGUACCUUGCCAACUAGGUCCUCGUGACAAUAGAAAUGAAAUGGUCUAAUCCAAUAAUGCAAGCUCACAACCUAUGUCUUCUGAAGAAAAAUCAUCUCUGUUGAAGUUGUAAAUCUUCAAGAUAUUGAUGCCUUCCCCAGAUCAAAUUCUUUGUUGCUGAGAAGAGAAAGAAUUCAUCAUUUUGUGUGCAACAGACCGAAUGAGAACCAUUUUGUUGCCCAUCCAAGGAUAAGGAAAAGGCCAACACCACAAACACGGUCAACAAGCCAUUUUGUUGCCCAUCCAAGGAUAAGGAAAAGGCCAACACCACCAACACGGUCAAAAAGGUUUAGCGUUUAUGUUCGCGUAGUUGCUGUCCGAUGUGGCGCACGUUGUUGCAGCCUAUGGUGUCUGGUGAAGGAUCUUUCUGCAUCAAGUUCAACUGGUCGUUCCUUGGUGGUGUUGUGUUACCAAAAUUGCAUCUUUAUAUUGUUAAAUUGUCAUCGUGACUAUGCAGUUUACCGUUUAUAAGUUCAGAAGCAACAAAAACAAAUAUGGGAUGUUUAUGUCAACAAAUAAUAAACAUGUUUUUGGGAUUGGGAAAGGAAAGUGGAGGAUGUUGGAGGGGGGGAUAUUUCAAGUUUGGAUAAAAAGUCAGUUACUAUAACCCUACAAACUUCCACACCAAUUAAUCUCCAAGUCCCACUAACUUAAACCUUCCAAUUCUUCAAACCCCACAAACUACAUCUACCAACUCUCAAAUUUAUACCAUAAACCACAUAAACCAUUGUUAAACCCUAACAAUGUGAUGUCUGUAAUAAAUAACAAAUUUAAUACAUGAAA
Long non-coding RNA from Daphnia pulex (common water flea), 964 nucleotides. RefSeq lists it as uncharacterized. The record is from RefSeq and is a predicted model, not a curated record. NCBI's taxonomy places the organism in Eukaryota, Metazoa, Arthropoda, Branchiopoda, Diplostraca, Daphniidae. The transcript is spliced from 5 exons.